AUUGAACGCUGGCGGCAUGCCUUACACAUGCAAGUCGAACGGCAGCACGGGAGCAAUCCUGGUGGCGAGUGGCGAACGGGUGAGUAAUACAUCGGAACGUGCCCAGUCGUGGGGGAUAACGUAGCGAAAGCUACGCUAAUACCGCAUACGAUCUGUGGAUGAAAGCGGGGGACCGUAAGGCCUCGCGCGAUUGGAGCGGCCGAUGUCAGAUUAGGUAGUUGGUGGGGUAAAGGCCCACCAAGCCGACGAUCUGUAGCUGGUCUGAGAGGACGACCAGCCACACUGGGACUGAGACACGGCCCAGACUCCUACGGGAGGCAGCAGUGGGGAAUAUUGGACAAUGGGCGAAAGCCUGAUCCAGCAAUGCCGCGUGAGUGAUGAAGGCCUUAGGGUUGUAAAGCUCUUUUACCCGGGAUGAUAAUGACAGUACCGGGAGAAUAAGCCCCGGCUAACUCCGUGCCAGCAGCCGCGGUAAU
Molecule: ribosomal RNA, 476 nt
Filed under: uncultured bacterium
Lineage: Bacteria
Description: bacterial SSU rRNA
Rfam family: Bacterial small subunit ribosomal RNA
Source: RNAcentral